Molecule: long non-coding RNA, 1052 nt
Filed under: Marmota monax (woodchuck)
Lineage: Eukaryota; Metazoa; Chordata; Mammalia; Rodentia; Sciuridae
Source: RNAcentral
UUAUUUGGUCUGUAGAACUUUCCUUGAGACCACAUAUUUUGAAACAAAAGAUAAAAUAGAUAUAAACUGAUGAGACAGUGUCAUGGUAUUUCAAGGCCAUGUGUCAUGGUAUUUCAAGGACAUAUUUUCAAAGAAAAUGUUUCCUUGUAUAAAAAUGUUUGCUUCAUUAGUUCCUUAAUAUCUCAUGCAAGUUGUUUGCAAAGACAAUCUUUAUCAAACUAGAAAAUAACUGCUUGGAAAUAUGUUGCUUAUAACCAUCAUGGCACCCACAAAUGGUAGUGCUGAUAGCUGUGACACUUCAAAAGGGACAUUCUACCACCAAAAUCACUCUAGAAACACUUGACAUUAAAGUUAUUCAUACCUGUGUAGCAUCUUGGGUUCUACCAAUAAAAUCAUUUUCUCAUGAAAGCUAUGCUCUAUGUCCACGAGAAACCAUGUUUUUCAGUGUAGACAGACUUGGAAUAACACUGAGUGUAGAAACACAGGGAGCCAUUCUCUUCCUUGGUCUGGCCAGUCCUUUAGUAGGGAAGGACCCUUUAUGCAGUUAGGUAAGUAGACUCUGUCAAGUGUUUCAGCAAAGUUGGGAGGAGGCUUACUCUAAGAUUUAUGGGGUUGGCAGAAGACUAUUGAGAAUCAGACCUUACAGGAUAGAGAGCAAAUAACUAUACACCUCGUAGUGCCCAGCAUUGCUACCUAAUCUUGUACUUCAUGGUUUAGAAUUUAAUGCAAAUGGUUACUCAGAUAUUCACUGUCUUUUGGACCUGCCCUCACUUUCCUAGUGAUUCCACAUUGACUCUUGAUCCACAUCAUACAAACAGAGGUGUGUGUCAUAGAAGGGAAAUUUCUUUUCUGGACAUGUAAAGUUUAAAUUGUAUAUUAGAUCUAAAUAAAGAUGUUUAACAGGCAGUGUUACUAUCUGAAUAUGAGGGGUCCCCCCAAAGCACCUAUGUUAAUGCAGAAGGUAAAACAAUUAUAUGAUAUUAGGAGAGCUAUAACAUUCCGUAGAUUAAUCUGUUUAAUGGAUUAGCAAUUUGAAUGACAGGUGGGGCAUG